UAUGUCGGCCGCCUCCAGAUGUCCUGCAUGGUGAGCGUACCCAAAGGGACAAGGACAACUUUUCACCCGGGCAGGAAGUGUUCUACAGCUGUGAGCCCAGCUACGACCUCAGAGGGGCUGCGUCUCUGCGUUGCACACCCCAGGGAGACUGGAGCCCUGCAGCCCCCAGAUGCGAAGUGAAAUCCUGUGAUGACUUCACGGGCCAACUUCUUAAUGGCCAUGUGCUAUUUCCAGUAAAUCUCCAGCUUGGAGCAAAAGUGGAUUUUGUUUGUGAUGAAGGAUUUCAAUUAAAAGGCAGCUCUGCUAGUUAUUGUGUCUUGGCUGGAACGGAAAGCCUUUGGAAUAGCAGUGUUCCAGUGUGUGAACAAAUCUUUUGUCCAAGUCCUCCAGUUAUUCCUAAUGGGAGACACACAGGAAAACCUCUGGAAGUCUUUCCCUUUGGAAAAGCAGUAAAUUACACAUGCGACCCCCACCCAGACAGAGGGAUGACCUUCGACCUCAUUGGAGAGAGCACCAUCCGCUGCACAAGUGACCCUCAAGGGAAUGGGAUUUGGAGCAGCCCUGCCCCUCGCUGUGGAAUUCUGGGUCACUGUCAAGCCCCAGAUCAUUUUCUGUUUGCUAAGUUGAAAACCCAAACCAAUGCAUCUGACUUUCCCAUUGGGACAUCUUUAAAGUAUGAAUGCCAUCCUGAGUACUACGGGAGGCCAUUCUCUAUCACAUGUCUAGAUAACCUGGUCUGGUCGAGUCCCAAAGAUGUCUGUAAACGUAAAUCAUGUAAAACUCCUCCAGAUCCAGUGAAUGGCAUGGUGCAUGUGAUCACAGACACCCAGGUUGGAUCCAGAAUCAACUAUUCUUGUACUACAGGGUACCGACUCAUUGGUCACUCAUCUGCUGAAUGUAUCCUCUCAGGCAAUACUGCCCAUUGGAGCACGAAGCCGCCAAUUUGUCAACGAUCAUGCCAUCUUCCCUGUGAGUUGUUUGGAAGAUGAGCUUUCUACAUUUUGGGGAGCAAAGAGGAAUGAGCAAUUGCAAGCUAACAAGGAAUAUAAAAUGUGUAUAAUCCUGGGUUUAGUGAUGGUGUGAGGAAAUCAGCAAUUUCAAACCCAGUUGGUGGGAGGACAAGUGGGAACAAACUUUGUAGAAGGGCAAUAUACUGGCUGGGCACUGCCCUACAGUAGAGUAAGACACAGUAUUCAGUUCUUCCAAGAUCAGAUGAGAUUGGGUGCAUUCGGGGUGGUAUGGCUAUAGAUCAGUAUCCAGUUCUUUUUAUUACUUCUGAAUCUCUAAGUAUCGUGUUUAUUAUAUGUAAUAUUGUAUAUUUGUGCUUUGUCUUUAUUAGUUCUUCCAGAGCUUUUGUUCUUAUUAUUUAAUAAAGAUGUUAUACUG
Molecule: small RNA, 1386 nt
Filed under: Pongo abelii (Sumatran orangutan)
Lineage: Eukaryota; Metazoa; Chordata; Mammalia; Primates; Hominidae
Description: processed transcript
Source: RNAcentral